This is a long non-coding RNA of Myotis brandtii (Brandt's bat), 725 nucleotides long. RefSeq lists it as uncharacterized. The record is from RefSeq and is a predicted model, not a curated record. The transcript has 2 exons. Lineage: Eukaryota; Metazoa; Chordata; Mammalia; Chiroptera; Vespertilionidae.
GAAACAGGACACAAAAAGGGAUACCAGCUUUUAUUUUUCCCCUUUUCACAAAACGAAGUAGAAGAAGUAAUACAGAAUUAAAAUCACAAAAGUAGGUGGUAGAACAUGUAUACACACAAAAAAUCCAGAUAAGAAGACAGGCUUAUUUACAAUGAGGAAACACAUGUAAAUUAAGGUAGCUUGUAGUAUGAAACAAAAAACUCAAACAUAUGCUACAUGGGUGCCACUGUUGACAGCAAUAUUGAAGGGGAGAAAACAACACUUAUGUAGGGACAGAUAUACCACAAGAUCCAGGUUUUACAGCAUCAGUGCAAUAAAUUCACAGAACUAUAUUACAGCUAGUUAAUCAGAGUUAAAGAAUGUGUUCCCAGAGCUAUUUGCCACUUCACAACCCAAGAGCACUGCUGUAAGGUCUUCCAACUUUCCCAACGGCUUAAAAAACAAAACACCUACCCUUAGUGUAGCUUUCUUUUGAGCUUUGUUUUUGUACUGCAAAAACAGGAUGUGAUCUUUCAAAACGUGCCAGAUGACUAAACAGCUAACACUAUCUAGCGGCAACAAAUGCAGUCUGACUUCCAGACGAUAAAACAAGCCGGACAUUUAAAUUUGCCUUCAGGUUUUCAUAUCCCAGGGAAUGUACAUGUCAGUGUUUUUUUGUGUGUGAGAUUUUCUUUAUUAAUCCUCACCUGAGGAUAUUUUUUCCGUCUACUUUUUAGAGUGGAGGG